RNAcentral lists this ribosomal RNA (442 nucleotides) under uncultured bacterium. RNAcentral's name for it is "partial 16S ribosomal RNA". It matches the Rfam family "Bacterial small subunit ribosomal RNA", at positions 338 to 795 of the family's 1533-position model. The record is from RNAcentral.
CCUACGGGUGGCAGCAGUGGGGAAUAUUGGUCAAUGGGCGCAAGCCUGACCCAGCAACGCCGCGUGAAGGAAGAAGGCUUUCGGGUUGUAAACUUCUUUUUUCAGGGAAGAGUAGAAGACGGUACCUGACGAAUAAGCCACGGCUAACUACGUGCCAGCAGCCGCGGUAAUACGUAGGUGGCAAGCGUUGUCCGGAUUUACUGGGUGUAAAGGGCGUGUAGCCGGGUUGACAAGUCAGAUGUGAAAUCCUGCGGCUGAACCGCAGAACUGCAUUUGAAACUGUUGAUCUUGAGUACUGGAGAGGCAGACGGAAUUCGUAGUGUAGCGGUGAAAUGCGUAGAUAUUAGGAGGACCACCAGUGGCGAAGGCGGUCUGCUGGACAGCAACUGACGGUGAGGCGCGAAAGCGUGGGGAGCAAACAGGAUUAGAUACCCCAGUAGUC